GACGUAGGGCGCGAGCGUUGUCCGGAAUUAUUGGGCGUAAAGAGCUCGUAGGCGGCUUGUUGCGUCGACUGUGAAAACCCGCGGCUCAACCGUGUGGCUUGCAGUCGAUACGGGCAGGCUAGAGUUCGGUAGGGGAGACUGGAAUUCCUGGUGUAGCGGUGAAAUGCGCAGAUAUCAGGAGGAACACCAGUGGCGAAGGCAGUGGUCUGGGCCGGAACUGACGCUGUAGAGCGAAAGCGUGGGGAGCGAACAGG
This 254-nucleotide ribosomal RNA is filed under the name uncultured bacterium. RNAcentral's name for it is "partial 16S ribosomal RNA". It matches the Rfam family "Bacterial small subunit ribosomal RNA", at positions 524 to 776 of the family's 1533-position model. The record is from RNAcentral.